UGCCCCAAGCUUUAUAAAACAGCGGGGUCUGCGCCUUCUUUCAAAACGUCUCGGGAGAAAACUACAGUAGGAAGGGACUGACCAAGAAGAAGGCUGAAAAGUCAAUGUAAUUGUUUGCAUCCGUGAACAGCAUUGAAAAUGGCAUCUGUUCCAUCGGCUGGCUGCCUUCUUGCAAGAAAUCAGUUUUACCGAACUCGCUUGAAUUCUACUUCAAGCAAUUCAUCUACAAGCUCUUCCAGUUGCGACUGCUCUGGUGAUCAUGAAAAGGCCCCUGUUUCACAAGGUAUACAAGUUCCAUUUGAGAAGUGCUGGUAGCUGAAGAACUUCUUUGUUUGUGAAGCACAUCAUCAAGGUACUUCAGAACCUCCUACAAGCAGCUCUACCAGUUAAUGCACGCUGAAGACUGUUCCUGCGCACUGCAGGACUAAGGAGUAAUUCUGACUGCUGAAUCACGUCGUGCUUCACUCUGACUGCUGGCUAAUUGUCAAAUUUCUGGGUGGUGCAUAAGGAAAGUGAGAGGCAGGAGAUCUGCAAGGUUCCAAAGACACUUUUAUUUUGGUUGCCAAGUGUCAUAUCAGCAUGUUUCAGGUUGUUAAAACUGAACUUCGUCUGCACGACCCAGAAACUGAAUAUAGCUUUGCUGUUGAUAUGUUGCCAGGUAGUUUGCAAACUGAAACGGUAAUCUGCUUGAUGUCUGUACUUAAAAAUAUGAACCUGACUACAAGUGCUGUUUUAGGUGACCUACUUAAUUCAUACCAAGACUUUGACAUUCACUUUAUACUUGUUGGCCUCAAGUUUAUAGACAAGGUGGGGGCAGUUUGAUUAUGCACUGAACUUUUUAUUUGUAUGCCAUGACCAUAUUAGAUUUGGUUAUAUUUUACUAUAUUAAAUGAUAUUGCAUUGGUAUACCUUGACCUACAUUUUAAAAUAAAAUCUGUGCUAGUUUUUUUUUUUAAUUCUAGAAAUUAAAUCUGCUUGAAUGUCAAAAGUGCACAGUGGAGGUGACUACUAGUAGAUUGUGUUGUAUAUUUUGCCACCUUUUAAAAUAUGAAUAUUAAGGCAUAGAUACACCUGAAUCUGCAUGGUCACUGAAGUAUUUUAGUCACUUCAACCUGGGUUAGGUCUUCAGAAUAGUGCCAAGAUAAUUGGGUAUCAAAUUUGGAAACAGUGAGUUACUGAAAGAUAGUGCUGUGUUAAUCCUUGAUGAACGUAGGAUGUGGGACUCUUGAAACAUUUGCUUUAAGAUGCUCUUUUUUUUAUUAGUAUUUUGACAACAUGCAUUUAUUUUUUUAGAUGAUAGUACAGGUUCUAUUGAAUCAUGUUAAGCAUCCACAUCUACCCAUAUAAUGCCUGUUGCACACCAGAUGUCCUGUUUAAAGAAACCUUUUAUUCCCAGAAAUGGCCCAGAUUUUGUGUAUGAUAUUGGGGAAAGUUGUCACUGAUUUCAUGAAAUGGACAUGUUACUUGACAUUUCCACAAAACAAUUUGCUUAAUUUGGUGUGUGUGUGUAUAUAAAAAUCUUUCUCCUUUUUGCAUUAUGCUGUUCUAAUGUUUAAUAUCCUGGUAUAUUAAGGAUGACUGUAAUGCCCUUAAGUGAAGCAAAUUGC
Non-coding RNA from Lepisosteus oculatus (spotted gar), 1607 nucleotides. Lineage: Eukaryota; Metazoa; Chordata; Actinopteri; Semionotiformes; Lepisosteidae. The record is from RefSeq and is a predicted model, not a curated record.